RNAcentral lists this long non-coding RNA (743 nucleotides) under Gossypium barbadense (sea-island cotton). RNAcentral's name for it is "long non-coding RNA (GBAR_LNC009683)". Lineage: Eukaryota; Viridiplantae; Streptophyta; Magnoliopsida; Malvales; Malvaceae. The record is from RNAcentral.
UUCAAAAUAAAGAGAAGGCUCUCAACUCUCUUAACCCUUCCCCUCCUCCGGUCAUCGGACCGGCCAUCAACCGUCACGCCGGUCACCGGCCACCGACGGCGGCGCCGCCGUCCACAGUGGGCGAAAAAUCUUCCGGCCACCGAUCCUUGGCGGUGGCUUCCUCGGUCGUCCACAAUGUUGGAAAACCGAACACCGGUAAGUUCCUUCCCUCUUUUCCUUUUUUUUUAUUUUUUAAGUUUUUUUUUGUGUUAAAAUACUUGUAAAAUAGAUAAAAUGAACGAAUAGAAAGAAGAUCAAAAAUAAAAAUAAGGACAAACACCUUUUGAACUUGUUUUCUCCUUUUGAUUUCUCCCGAAAAUCUCUAUAAUACAACACCCCUUAAUACAAUCUCUUCUCUCCAAAAAUCAAUCGAUUCUUCCUCAAAAUACCAUCGAUCCCCCCUCUACAAUCGGUUCUAGUAUGGCUUUUAUAGCCAUUUACAAACUUUAUUAUAUAUAUUUGCUAUCUUUUCUUCUUCUUGUAUGGCAGGCAAACGGUGGUGGAGGCAUGUGCCACUUGGUAGUGGUUGGAAGUGGGUGGUUGAGGCUUGCGGCUAGGGUUUCUAAUUUUUGAAAAUAGGUUGUGGGCUAGGGUUUCUAAGCUUUUGGGCUUCUUUUAGGUUUUAAUAUUUGGGUUGUAAUUGGGUUGGUAGCUUUGUUUGUAAAUGGACUUUUAAUGGGCAUUUUGAUUUUUUUUUAUUUUUU